RNAcentral lists this long non-coding RNA (228 nucleotides) under Physcomitrium patens. RNAcentral describes it as "long non-coding RNA (PPAT_LNC009999)". Lineage: Eukaryota; Viridiplantae; Streptophyta; Bryopsida; Funariales; Funariaceae. The record is from RNAcentral.
GAAAUUCUAAACUAAUAGGAGGCUUAUUGGGAGGGAUGAAAGCAAGGCAUGGUUGGAUGAAGGCAAGGAAUAGAAAACUUCAUUCCUAUUGGUCGAAGGCCAUGCCCAAUAGGCUUCAAGGAGGCUACUCGAGGCCUUAUUAGGGAUUAGGGUUUCUCUUUUGAAGUCAUUUGAGCUUUGGAGGCUAAGAUCAGCAAAUCCAGGAUUUUGGAUAUAAUUUGGAUAAAG